CCAAACCCUAGAAAAUGACAUGUCCACUGAUUCUACCGCCGUUCCUCUCCCCGCCGUUAUGAAAGCUCCGAUCCGACCCGACGUCGUCACCUACGUUCACUCCAACAUUUCCAAAAACGCCCGUCAACCUUACGCCGUUUCGAAGAAAGCUGGUCACCAAACCUCGGCUGAGUCAUGGGGUACUGGUCGUGCUGUUUCCCGUAUCCCUCGUGUACCUGGUGGUGGUACCCACCGUGCUGGUCAAGGUGCUUUUGGUAAUAUGUGUCGUGGUGGUCGUAUGUUUGCUCCUACUAAGAUCUGGCGAAGAUGGCAUAGGAAGAUCCCGGUGAACCAGAAAAGGUACGCUGUUGUUUCUGCUAUUGCUGCUUCUUCAGUCCCUUCAUUGGUUCUCGCUAGGGGUCAUAGAAUUGAGACUGUUCCUGAGCUUCCGCUUGUUGUAUCCGAUUCGAUUGAGGGGAUUGAGAAGACUAACAAUGCGAUCAAGGCGUUGAAGCAAAUUGGUGCGUAUCCAGAUGCUGAGAAGGCGAAGGACAGUCAUGCGAUUCGUCCAGGAAAGGGAAAAAUGCGUAAUCGUAGGUACAUUUCGAGGAAAGGGCCAUUGAUUGUGUAUGGAACUGAAGGGG
RNAcentral lists this long non-coding RNA (623 nucleotides) under Capsicum annuum. RNAcentral's name for it is "long non-coding RNA (CANN_LNC014778)". The record is from RNAcentral. Lineage: Eukaryota; Viridiplantae; Streptophyta; Magnoliopsida; Solanales; Solanaceae.